UGUCGUAGCUGGAUUAGAGAUCGGCUAACGAUGUAUCAUUAACAAACCCUAGUUAUAAGGAUUUAAUAUGUCUCUAACUACAGAACAAAAAGCAGCAAUCGUUGCUGAAUAUGGUCGUGAUGCA
This is a regulatory RNA element of Pasteurella bettyae, 124 nucleotides long. It matches the Rfam family "Ribosomal S15 leader". From Rfam's summary of the family: The E. coli Ribosomal S15 gene 5' UTR can form two alternative structures. One that is a series of three hairpins, The other includes a pseudoknot. The record is from Rfam. Lineage: Bacteria; Pseudomonadati; Pseudomonadota; Gammaproteobacteria; Pasteurellales; Pasteurellaceae.